GGGGGUGUAGCUCAUAUGGUAGAGCGCUCGCUUUGCAUGCGAGAGGCAUCCAACGUCAGUUUUACGUAUUUUGAGGCACGCAGUUCGAUUCCCCGCCCUCA
Molecule: transfer RNA, 101 nt
Filed under: Theobroma cacao (cacao)
Lineage: Eukaryota; Viridiplantae; Streptophyta; Magnoliopsida; Malvales; Malvaceae
Rfam family: tRNA
About the family: Transfer RNA (tRNA) molecules are approximately 80 nucleotides in length. Their secondary structure includes four short double-helical elements and three loops (D, anti-codon, and T loops).
Source: Rfam by way of RNAcentral